AUACGUAGGGGGCGAGCGUUGUCCGGAAUUACUGGGCGUAAAGGGGUGCGUAGGCGGAUAUGCAAGUCCGAUGUGAAAGACUUCGGCUUAACCGAGGAGCUGCAUUGGAAACUGCAUAUCUAGAGUGCAGGAGAGGGAAGCGGAAUUCCUAGUGUAGCGGUGAAAUGCGUAGAUAUUAGGAGGAACACCAGUGGCGAAGGCGGCUUCCUGGACUGUAACUGACGCUGAGGCACGAAAGCUGGGGGAGCAAACAGGAUUAGAUACCCUGGUAGUCCCAGCCGUAAACGAUGGGUACUAGGUGUUGCUGUCGUCAAGGCGGCAGUGCCGGAGCUAACGCAAUAAGUACCCCGCCUGGGGAGUACGGCCGCAAGGCUGAA
RNAcentral lists this ribosomal RNA (377 nucleotides) under uncultured bacterium. Its description in RNAcentral is "bacterial SSU rRNA". It matches the Rfam family "Bacterial small subunit ribosomal RNA", at positions 523 to 898 of the family's 1533-position model. The record is from RNAcentral.